GGCAAGUCUGGUGCCAGCAGCCGCGGUAAUUCCAGCUCCAAUAGCGUAUAUUAAAGUUGUUGCAGUUAAAACGCUCGUAGUCGAACUUUAGACAAGGCCGACCGGUCUGCCGUUAGGCAGGACUGGACGUGCCGCGUCUCUUUAUCGGGGAACUCGGGGCGCAAGCCUCAGGGAACCGAGGAUUACUGUGAAGAAAUUAGAGUGUUUAAAGCAGGCUUUUGCUUGAAUACGUUAGCAUGGAAUAAUAAGAUAGGA
This 255-nucleotide ribosomal RNA is filed under the name uncultured Rozellomycota. Its description in RNAcentral is "uncultured Cryptomycota partial 18S ribosomal RNA". It matches the Rfam family "Eukaryotic small subunit ribosomal RNA", at positions 554 to 827 of the family's 1831-position model. The record is from RNAcentral. Lineage: Eukaryota; Fungi; Rozellomycota.